Molecule: ribosomal RNA, 459 nt
Filed under: uncultured bacterium
Lineage: Bacteria
Description: partial 16S ribosomal RNA
Rfam family: Bacterial small subunit ribosomal RNA
Source: RNAcentral
CCUACGGGUGGCAGCAGUGAGGAAUAUUGGUCAAUGGACGCAAGUCUGAACCAGCCAUGCCGCGUGCAGGAUGACGGCUCUAUGAGUUGUAAACUGCUUUUGUACGAGGGUAAACCCCGAUACGUGUAUCGGGUUGAAAGUAUCUUACGAAUAAGGAUCGGCUAACUCCGGGCCAGCAGCCGCGGUAAUACGGGGGAUCCGAUGGUUAUCCGGAUUUAUUGGGUUUAAAGGGUGCGCAGGCGGCCUGUUCAGUCAGCGGUAAAAGCCCGGGGCUAAACCCCGGCGAGCGGUUGAAACUGGCGGGCUGGAGUUGGAGAGAAGUACGCGGAAUGCGCGGGGUAGCGGUGAAAUGCUUAGAUAUCGCGCAGAACCCCGAUUGCGAAGGCAGCGGACCGGCUCCACACUGACGCUGAGGCACGAAAGCGUGGGUAUCGAACAGGAUUAGAUACCCCAGUAGUC